GCCUAACACAUGCAAGUCGAACGGUAACAGGAAGAAGCUUGCUACUUUGCUGACGAGUGGCGGACGGGUGAGUAAUGUCUGGGAAACUGCCUGAUAGGAGGGGGAUAACUACUGGAAACGGUAGCUAAUACCGCAUAACGUCGCAAGACCAAAGAGGGGGACCUUCGGGCCUCUUGCCAUCGGAUGUGCCCAGAUGGGAUUAGCUAGUAGGUGGGGUAACGGCUCACCUAGGCGACGAUCCCUAGCUGGUCUGAGAGGAUGACCAGCCACACUGGAACUGAGACACGGUCCAGACUCCUACGGGAGGCAGCAGUGGGGAAUAUUGCACAAUGGGCGCAAGCCUGAUGCAGCCAUGCCGCGUGUAUGAAGAAGGCCUUCGGGUUGUAAAGUACUUUCAGCGGGGAGGAAGGGAGUAAAGUUAAUACCUUUGCUCAUUGACGUUACCCGCAGAAGAAGCACCGGCUAACUCCGUGCCAGCAGCCGCGGUAAUACGGAGGGUGCAAGCGUUAAUCGGAAUUACUGGGCGUAAAGCGCACGCAGGCGGUUUGUUAAGUCAGAUGUGAAUCCCCGGGCUCAACCUGGGAACUGCAUCUGAUACUGGCAAGCUUGAGUCUCGUAGAGGGGGGUAGAAUUCCAGGUGUAGCGGUGAAAUGCGUAGAGAUCUGGAGGAAUACCGGUGGCG
RNAcentral lists this ribosomal RNA (682 nucleotides) under uncultured Pseudomonadota bacterium. RNAcentral's name for it is "bacterial SSU rRNA". It matches the Rfam family "Bacterial small subunit ribosomal RNA", at positions 46 to 717 of the family's 1533-position model. Lineage: Bacteria; Pseudomonadati; Pseudomonadota. The record is from RNAcentral.